RNAcentral lists this long non-coding RNA (359 nucleotides) under Brachypodium distachyon (stiff brome). RNAcentral describes it as "long non-coding RNA (BDIS_LNC000526)". The record is from RNAcentral. Lineage: Eukaryota; Viridiplantae; Streptophyta; Magnoliopsida; Poales; Poaceae.
AACUCGACAUGGAUGAAGACAAUGGUGAGCAGCACGGUGGGACUCGCCUUCUCCUCACAGAAAAGGAGUGGACCGAGAGGAUGAAGAAGAAUCGCAAGAACAACAAGAAGAAGAUGCGAUGCUUCAACUGCCAAGAACUUGGCCACUUCGCUUGGGAGUGUCCAGAGAAGAAGAAGGACCAAGCCCAUGAGAAGAAGAAGGCACAAGAAGAAGAGGAGAAGGCACUGCUCGCUGGUUACCGACAUCGACGAGCCAGCUCUUCUCUGAAGCUUUGAGAAGAUUAGAUGAUCAAGAUUAGGGGGGAAAUGGUUAGCUUAAUCUUGAUCUUUGUAUCUGCAUGUUGUUUUCUUGUUCUGCAU